ACGCUGGCGGCAGGCUUAACACAUGCAAGUCGAAGGUGAUCCAGNACUUCGGUUUUGGUGAAACUGGCGCACGGGUGAGUAACGCGUGGGAAUCUACCCCGGGGUGGGGAAUAACCACUGGAAACGGUGGCUAAUACCGCAUACGCCUUGAGAGGGAAAGCUUUAGCGCCCUGGGAUGAGCCCGCGUCGGAUUAGGUUGUUGGUGGGGUAAUGGCCUACCAAGCCGUCGAUCCGUAGCUGGUCUGAGAGGAUGAUCAGCCACACUGGGACUGAGACACGGCCCAGACUCCUACGGGAGGCAGCAGUGGGGAAUAUUGGACAAUGGGGGCAACCCUGAUCCAGCCAUGCCGCGUGCGUGAAGAAAGCCUUAAGGUUGUAAAGCGCUUUCGGCGGGGAAGAUGAUGACGGUACCCGCAUAAGAAGCCCCGGCUAACUCCGUGCCAGCAGCCGCGGU
Molecule: ribosomal RNA, 454 nt
Filed under: uncultured Alphaproteobacteria bacterium
Lineage: Bacteria; Pseudomonadati; Pseudomonadota; Alphaproteobacteria
Description: bacterial SSU rRNA
Rfam family: Bacterial small subunit ribosomal RNA
Source: RNAcentral